This 384-nucleotide ribosomal RNA is filed under the name uncultured bacterium. Its description in RNAcentral is "bacterial SSU rRNA". It matches the Rfam family "Bacterial small subunit ribosomal RNA", at positions 445 to 823 of the family's 1533-position model. The record is from RNAcentral.
AAAAGCUUUUCGGUGAAUAGCCGGAGGGUUUGAUGGUACCAUUAGAGGAAGCACCGGCUAACUCCGUGCCAGCAGCCGCGGUAAUACGGAGGGUGCAAGCGUUGUUCGGAAUUACUGGGCGUAAAGCGCGUGCAGGCGGUAAGGUAAGUCAGAUGUGAAAGCCCCGGGCUCAACCCGGGAAGUGCAUUUGAUACUGCCUUUCUUGAGUAUGGGAGAGGAGAGUGGAAUUCCCAGUGUAGAGGUGAAAUUCGUAGAUAUUGGGAGGAACACCCGUGGCGAAGGCGACUCUCUGGACCAAUACUGACGCUGAGACGCGAAAGCGUGGGGAGCGAACAGGAUUAGAUACCCUGGUAGUCCACGCCGUAAACGAUGAGAACUAGAUGU